Molecule: ribosomal RNA, 254 nt
Filed under: uncultured bacterium
Lineage: Bacteria
Description: partial 16S ribosomal RNA
Rfam family: Bacterial small subunit ribosomal RNA
Source: RNAcentral
GACAGAGGGUGCCAACGUUGUUCGGAAUUACUGGGCGUAAAGCGCGUGUAGGCGGCUUGUGCAAGUCGGGUGUGAAAGCCCCAGGCUCAACCUGGGAAGUGCAUUCGAUACUGCGAAGCUGGAGUCCCGGAGAGGGUGGUGGAACUCUCGGUGUAGAGGUGAAAUUCGUAGAGAUCGAGAAGAACACCGGUGGCGAAGGCGGCCACCUGGACGGAGACUGACGCUGAGACGCGAAAGCGUGGGGAGCAAACAGG